RNAcentral lists this long non-coding RNA (927 nucleotides) under Cyanistes caeruleus (blue tit). RNAcentral describes it as "lncRNA (ENSCCEG00000001358.1)". The record is from RNAcentral. Lineage: Eukaryota; Metazoa; Chordata; Aves; Passeriformes; Paridae.
GGGGCUUGGGCCAGGACAGGCCGCACUGACAAGGUCUGCAGCGCCGGCAAAUACACCUCCAAAAGCUCCGAACCCCACCUUUGUCUGCCGCUUGUGAGAAGAAACAGAGUGAAAUCUGAGGGAAGCCUUCAUCCCUUUGGAGACUCUAUCACACGCUCAGCCACCUUUGAGGGCGUGCACAAGUUAUGUAAGGUUUUGGAGAGAUGGAUGGUGGCAGAGCUGUUGGACACCCUGUACUUCUGUAACAAUUGCCUUACAGCCUCUUCUGUCCAGGCAGUCUCUUCCCUAGGAAAGAGUCUUGCAUUGGAAAUUCAAGAUACACCGAUCAAGUUGCCAGGCCUGCGCCUCAUUGGCCACCAGCUGAAGUGACCGUGUGCUCUGGUUGGAUUUGGUAGAUGGGAUCUACCUGCAGCAGACUGCCCUCAUGCCAAACCUGUCUGGAUGGUCCAUGGUUGGUGAAAACAGAGACUUGGAGACUUUGCAUCACAAGGCGUGGAGUGCACUGACUGUUGCCAUGAAGUCUGGUUAUUCUGAAGACUUAAAGCCAUAUAUAUGAAGCAAGUUAGUACUAAAUUGACUACUGUACCUUUCAUUAGAUCUAUUAUCUACCUAGAGGCUAUUUUCACUUUCAAGUGGCAUUUGCUCCAUAAUAAGUAAUGUCUCAAAAUGCUGUUAAUUAAAGUUUCAUCUGUUUAGAGGAAUUUCUUCUUCUUCCCCCUUUCCUCUUUUCUUUUCAGAAGGUAGUAAUUAUUCCAAGAGUGUGGAGACAUUGUUACUGUAGCUCAUUAAAUAUGGCAAUGCUCACUUGGACCUUUGAGUGCUGGUGAUGUCAAGUUGACCUGAAAUGCAAGGAUUCCAUCUGUCAGGAAUUACUGAUGAAUUGGCAAUUAAAUAUAAAUAAAUAUAUAUAUAUAUAUAUUUAACUCA